UCGAACGUGAAAGCACUUCGGUGUGAGUAGAGUGGCGGACGGGUGAGUAACGCGUGGGAAUCUACCCAGUAGUGGGGGACAACUACCGGAAACGGCAGCUAAUACCGCAUACGCCCUAUGGGGGAAAGGCUUCGGCCGCUAUUGGAUGAGCCCGCGUCAGAUUAGCUAGUUGGUAGGGUAAAGGCCUACCAAGGCAACGAUCUGUAGCUGGUCUGAGAGGACGAACAGCCACACUGGGACUGAGACACGGCCCAGACUCCUACGGGAGGCAGCAGUGGGGAAUAUUGGACAAUGGGCGAAAGCCUGAUCCAGCAAUGCCGCGUGUGUGAAGAAGGCCUGCGGGUUGUAAAGCACUUUCAGUUGGGAAGAUGAUGACGUUACCAACAGAAGAAGCACCGGCUAAAUCCGUGCCAGCAGCCGCGGUAAUACGGAUGGUGCGAGCGUUAAUCGGAAUUACUGGGCGUAAAGCGCGCGUAGGCGGCUAAGUCAGUCAGAAGUGAAAUCCCCGGGCUCAACCUGGGAAUUGCUUUUGAUACUGCUUAGCUAGAGUUUGGUAGAGGAUAGUGGAAUUCCAGGUGUAGCGGUGAAAUGCGUAGAUAUCUGGAGGAACAUCAGUGGCGAA
RNAcentral lists this ribosomal RNA (622 nucleotides) under uncultured Gammaproteobacteria bacterium. RNAcentral's name for it is "bacterial SSU rRNA". It matches the Rfam family "Bacterial small subunit ribosomal RNA", at positions 62 to 719 of the family's 1533-position model. The record is from RNAcentral. Lineage: Bacteria; Pseudomonadati; Pseudomonadota; Gammaproteobacteria.